CACGGUGAUCUGAGGCUUGAGCAGUGACACAGACGCUCACGCACACGCACACGCACACGCGCACACCCUCAGACGCACAAGAGCUCCGCCCCUUUCCGCUGACAGAAACAUAAAACCUUGCGUUUGGCUAUUACCUGUGUUCUUUCCUGAGGAGCCUGGGCUCUCGCACCUCUUCAUUCUUUGAUGAAGAACGAAACUUUCCUUCACUUCCGAACCGAACUCGGCCUGGUUCUAUGGGCGACUGUGAGAAGUGGGGACCCCUACACCCUGUUUCUUCCUUCAGGAGUCUACAAAUUCUAACCACAUCCUCACUGAAGAUACAACUGGGAAAGAACUGCUGUGUAUAGAAACCUAUCUUCGUUCAUCUGUUGGUACUGCUUCAUGCAGGUAGCAUAAGGUCCGGAAGAUCCCCUGGAGGAGUCCAUGGCAACCCACUCCAGUAUUCUUGCCUAGAGAAAACCCAUGGACAUAGGAGCCUGGCAGGAUAUAUUCUGUGGGAUCACAGAGUCAAGCACGACUGAAGAGACUGAGCAGCAUGCUCUAGCUAUAUGUGUGGAUGAUUUUUUUCAUUUAUUGUAUGUUUUUCUUACUGAUGAGCUUUUUCAUUUUGUAAUUUUCAUGCAAAGCUGGUUUGAUGGUGCUUAGUUUUGCUUGUCUGUAAAGUUUUUGAUCUCUUCAUCAAGCAUAAGUUAUUAAGGAGUUGAAGCUCCCUCUGCUCGCCUUACAACAAGCCAAUGAAUCAGAGAGAUGUUGUGGCAAGGAAUACAACUCUAUUUGGAAAGCCAGCAGACUGAGAAUAUGGCAGACUAAUGUCUCAAAAUAACCAUCUUAUUGAGGUUUGCAUACCAGAUUCUUUUAUAGAAUAAGCAGGGAAGUUGAGGAGGUAAAGUAAAAAAGGCUGUGACUCUUACAAACCUCUCCUGGAAUGACUGGCCUUGACGGGGGGAUGUAUUGAUUUCCUUCUUCCUGUAGCCAUCCACAGGUGAACAAAGUCCUGAUCAAAGGCAUUUUGGUGUAACAUUCAGGCAGAGGGGUAAGUUUUCCUGAGGCAGGCCACAUGUAUGGACAGUAUCCUUUAAGUGAACAAAAGCAAUGGGAAGCAAACAUUAAAGUGAAAGAGAUCCAACAUGGAGUCAGUUCUUCUCUAUAACAAUUCCCCACAUCAAUAUCCCUUCCAUAAUCUUCUGGAAAAGAGGGCAGUGACCAUUUUAAUUGCUUCUUGUUGUGUGUUGUCAGAUUAAUCUCUCUGGGAAUGUCCAGUACUGAUGGUAGUGUUCCAAAUGCUGCUGCUUUUGUUCCUAUAUGGGAAUUGCCUACUUUAUACCUGUAGACUUAAAAAAAAAUUUAUAACCAAAAAGUUAAGAGUUAUGUUUUAUUAGGUGGGAAUUUUGAGGACUUCAAGCCUAGGAGGCAGCACCUCAAGUUAAGGAAUUUAGUGCUUUUUUAUGUAUGGGAAGAUGCAAAAAUCUGGGCCCACUGAAAUUAUUUCCUUGAUAUGCACCUCAGCUAUCUGUGGGCCUGUAUCCUGUAACCUGAGUUUCCUCAGGGCUCACCAUAGGGAGUGACUGUAGUCUGAUAGAUGCUGGAUGGCAGGUAUUCUUAUCCUUCCUGACUUUUUUUCAGGGAUCACUGGCUCACAUUGGAGGGCUGCUUCAGAUCCUUUCCUCUUGGACAAUAUUUGGGAGACAUUUCAUGAUCAAAUUUUGUCCCAUAUUGUUGUGAGUCUCAUCUCAAAUCAGGUGAAAAUUCUUGAUAUACCAACUCAAGUGUUAAAUUUUGGAUUAGACCCAUUGAUAAUUAAAGACUGUCUAGAUCUUG
Molecule: long non-coding RNA, 1818 nt
Organism: Bubalus bubalis (water buffalo)
Lineage: Eukaryota; Metazoa; Chordata; Mammalia; Artiodactyla; Bovidae
Exons: 3
Source: RefSeq, a predicted model, not a curated record